RNAcentral lists this ribosomal RNA (492 nucleotides) under uncultured bacterium. Its description in RNAcentral is "partial 16S ribosomal RNA". It matches the Rfam family "Bacterial small subunit ribosomal RNA", at positions 29 to 507 of the family's 1533-position model. The record is from RNAcentral.
AGUGGACGCUGGCGGUAGGCCUAACACAUGCAAGUCGAACGGCAGCACAGUAAGAGCUUGCCCUUACGGGUGGCGAGUGGCGGACGGGUGAGGAAUACAUCGGAAUCUACUUUUUCGUGGGGGAUAACGUAGGGAAACUUACGCUAAUACCGCAUACGACCUACGGGUGAAAGCAGGGGAUCUUCGGACCUUGCGCGAUUGAAUGAGCCGAUGUCGGAUUAGCUAGUUGGCGGGGUAAAGGCCCACCAAGGCGACGAUCCGUAGCCGGUCUGAGAGGAUGAUCAGCCACACUGGAACUGAGACACGGUCCAGACUCCUACGGGAGGCAGCAGUGGGGAAUAUUGGACAAUGGGCGCAAGCCUGAUCCAGCCAUACCGCGUGGGUGAAGAAGGCCUUCGGGUUGUAAAGCCCUUUUGUUGGGAAAGAAAAGCAGCAGGUUAAUACCCCGCUGUUCUGACGGUACCCAAAGAAUAAGCACCGGCUAACUUCGUG